Molecule: ribosomal RNA, 348 nt
Filed under: uncultured eukaryote
Lineage: Eukaryota
Description: SSU rRNA
Rfam family: Eukaryotic small subunit ribosomal RNA
Source: RNAcentral
AUAGCGUAUAUUAAAGUUGUUGCAGUUAAAAAGCUCGUAGUUGAAUUUUGGACCUGGCUGGGUGGUCUUGGCUCACGUCAAGCACUGCCUCUGGUCGGGUCUUUCCUUCUGGGGAACCUGCGUGCUAUUAACUUAGUGCGCAGGGGAUCCAGGACUUUUACUUUGAAAAAAUUAGAGUGUUUAAAGCAGGCUUUCGCUUGAAUACAUUAGCAUGGAAUAAUAGAAUAGGACUUUGGUUCUAUUUUGUUGGUUUCUAGGACCGAAGUAAUGAUUAAUAGGGAUAGUUGGGGGCAUUAGUAUUUAAUUGUCAGAGGUGAAAUUCUUGGAUUUAUGAAAGACUAACUUCUG